GAACGGGUGAGUAACACGUGGGCAAUCUGCCCUUCACUCUGGGACAAGCCCUGGAAACGGGGUCUAAUACCGGAUACGACCUGCUACCGCAUGGUGGCGGGUGGAAAGCUCCGGCGGUGAAGGAUGAGCCCGCGGCCUAUCAGCUUGUUGGUGAGGUAAUGGCUCACCAAGGCGACGACGGGUAGCCGGCCUGAGAGGGCGACCGGCCACACUGGGACUGAGACACGGCCCAGACUCCUACGGGAGGCAGCAGUGGGGAAUAUUGCACAAUGGGCGAAAGCCUGAUGCAGCGACGCCGCGUGAGGGAUGACGGCCUUCGGGUUGUAAACCUCUUUCAGCAGGGAAGAAGCGAGAGUGACGGUACCUGCAGAAGAAGCGCCGGCUAACUACGUGCCAGCAGCCGCGGUAAUACGUAGGGCGCAAGCGUUGUCCGGAAUUAUUGGGCGUAAAGAGCUCGUAGGCGGCUUGUCACGUCGAUUGUGAAAGCCCGAGGCUUAACCUCGGGUCUGCAGUCGAUACGGGCUAGCUAGAGUGUGGUAGGGGAGAUCGGAAUUCCUGGUGUAGCGGUGAAAUGCGCAGAUAUCAGGAGGAACACCGGUGGCGAAGGCGGAUCUCUGGGCCAUUACUGACGCUGAGGAGCGAAAGCGUGGGGAGCGAACAGGAUUAGAUACCCUGGUAGUCCACGCCGUAAACGGUGGGAACUAGGUGUUGGCGACAUUCCACGUCGUCGGUGCCGCAGCUAACGCAUUAAGUUCCCCGCCUGGGGAGUA
RNAcentral lists this ribosomal RNA (770 nucleotides) under Actinomycetales bacterium TLI001. Its description in RNAcentral is "bacterial SSU rRNA". It matches the Rfam family "Bacterial small subunit ribosomal RNA", at positions 100 to 882 of the family's 1533-position model. The record is from RNAcentral. Lineage: Bacteria; Bacillati; Actinomycetota; Actinomycetes; Actinomycetales.